This 1133-nucleotide long non-coding RNA is filed under the name Macaca fascicularis (crab-eating macaque). RNAcentral describes it as "lncRNA (ENSMFAG00000059764.1)". Lineage: Eukaryota; Metazoa; Chordata; Mammalia; Primates; Cercopithecidae. The record is from RNAcentral.
UUCUUUCAAUAAGUCAGUAGAGAUGAGGUUGUUAAUUGACUGGAGCCAGACCCGUCUCAACAUUCCCCUAGGAAGAGGGAGGGAGGGGAAGGUGCUUAGUUCAUACCAAGAAAGCACUGGAUCACAUCAUCUUAAAACAUGCCCUGCUGCCUCUGGGACUGUUUUGAGGUUCAAUUAUGAUGACAAAAUUCUUCAAAUCCCUUUGACAGUCAAAGCCUGGGCCCAGGGCUAGUGGUGGUUUUGUGUAUUUCAUUUGUACAUACAGAAGUGGAAGAAAUAGCUCAUUCUCACACCCUGUUGGAGGCGUUGCUGGGACUAGAACCCAGGCCCUGAGCCCCAGCCUGGGGUAAAGUAUGUCUGGCUACGUGCCUAACUGCAUCACAUGUCUUGAGAUGCAACUGGCAUCUAAAGCAAGGGGGGCAGUCCUGAGGCACUGAACCCUAAACCUGGGAGAGCUGAUGCUUUCGGGGUAGAUAGUGUCAGAAUUAAACUGGAGGAUACCCAGCUGGUGUCCAUGGCAAAACUGAUUCCUUGCUUGGCAUGUGGGGAAAAAAAACCCACACAUUUGGUCACAGAAGUCUUCUGUCUUUAUUGUGUAGUGUGAGAGCAGAGGAAAAUCAGUUGUUGUUUUUUUACUCUCGCAAAGUGGCUCUGGACAAAUCAGACUAUGCUCUGGCCUUGGGGACGUCCAAUGAAGAGGAAAUCGGUAUUUGUGAAGAGUUAGGAGACGCCAGCCACAUGAGGGAACAGUGGACGCUUGUCUUUUCGGAAGGCCACACCUGUUUUUCUUUCCUGAAAAAGGAAAACUGGGUUUUUCCACUGUAUCUUUCCUGCACAGGCUUCUCUGGGGAUCUUCGUGCUCCUUCGCAACAAGGUUCUUGCCUUGUUGGAGACAAGGGACUCUAUAAAUGUUCCGCGGGACUUAGGAUCCCUCCCCAGAGAAGGCAGUGGGAGGCCUCCCUGCUCCUACCUCUGCCUCUUUUCAGGAUGGCCGUAGACACAGACUGACUCUUCUGCAGCAGGACAGGGGAGGCCACGUGGCCAAGUGGACGCCACCAUGGCGGAGGCCAGUGGGAGGCCUCUCUAGUUUCCAUUUCUCACCUCUGUUUUAAAAAUGCAUUUUCCCUCUUCAU